Molecule: long non-coding RNA, 681 nt
Organism: Homo sapiens (human)
Lineage: Eukaryota; Metazoa; Chordata; Mammalia; Primates; Hominidae
Source: Ensembl
GGCGCGCUCGUGGCGGGGACGCCGGCACCCGGCUGCUCACCCGGGACGGCCGUCACACCGGCACUACGGGAAGAAGCCGGCCGGCUAGGGCACGGAGCUCUGGGCUUGCGGGGUGCGGCGCACGCCCCUCCCUCCCACCGCCUAAGGUUUUUCCGAAGCUGCUGGGCGUGCGCCGCGUUUCUGAGGCGGGAGGAGACACUUCCGAGCCAGCUGUGUGACAUCCGUUUACACAGCCGCGCUGACGUCUCGAGGUGCACAACAAGAUCAAACGCUGACAUCAGGAUAGCAGCGAGAGAGAGGCAUUUAUUUGCACAGUGCCAAGCAAGGAUGAUACGACAGCUAAUGCUUAAAUUCUGACCUCUCCAGUGGCUUGCAGAUUCUUGCAGGUGGCUGGUUCCAGAUGGAGUCCAUGACCAGAAUGAGAACUUCAUGCCUGCUCUUUCCCAAUUGGUUAUUUCUGAAUAAUGCUUUUAAAUCAAUCAAAUGUUGCCUUUUUCAAGGCUACCUACAGCCCACACCUCCCCAGUUCUGAGCCUAUAAAAACCUCACACUCAGCCACAUGGGGAUACUACCUGCCUUUGGGUGGGGACAAUCCACCUUCAGGUUGGGGACUACCCACUUCUGGUCCAUCUCUGCUGAGAGCUAUUCUGUCACUCAAUAAAACUUCUCCACCUUUCUCAC